AUGGAGAACAGUGAGGGGAAAACUCUAUAUUCAGGAGCUACAAACUGCAAGCUGCUGGUGCAACAUUACAUGUGGCACCGUACAACUUGGAUAUUGGCAAGGCAUCACUACAGAGCUCAGGAAUGCCCUCUCUACUUCCCUGAAGCAUUUCUCCUGAGCAAGCACAUGACAUACUCCAUCACCACUGCAUUGAAGGGAAGCAUGAUCCGGCCGUGGCAUGUGAACCCAAACUCUUCCUUGGACAUCCUUAGUAGCUCGCCGAAGAUUGUCUUGCCGAGGUACGCCAAGGGGACCUCGAAUCGCCUCCCAUCAGUCGUGUACAUGAUGCAGUGGCCUUUAUCUGCGACCGGCGAUGAUGUGCAGCAUGCUUCGUCAUCUCUGGAUGUUGCCUUGACCCUUUGGCACUUCCUCACAAACUGA
This 420-nucleotide ribosomal RNA is filed under the name Triticum aestivum (bread wheat). Its description in RNAcentral is "partial small subunit ribosomal RNA". The record is from RNAcentral. Lineage: Eukaryota; Viridiplantae; Streptophyta; Magnoliopsida; Poales; Poaceae.